This 57-nucleotide small RNA is filed under the name Leptolyngbya sp. 'hensonii'. RNAcentral describes it as "Nitrogen stress-induced RNA 1". It matches the Rfam family "Nitrogen stress-induced RNA 1". The record is from Rfam by way of RNAcentral. Lineage: Bacteria; Bacillati; Cyanobacteriota; Cyanophyceae; Leptolyngbyales; Leptolyngbyaceae.
UGGUAGAUGCACCCUGAUUAAUUUUCCGGCUCAAAAACUUGAGUCGGAAUUUUUUUU